UACUCGAGUGGCGAACGGGUGAGUAACACGUGGGUGAUCUGCCCUUCACUUCGGGAUAAGCCUGGGAAACUGGGUCUAAUACUGGAUAGGACCAUCGUUUAGUGUCGGUGGUGGAAAGUUUUUCGGUGUGGGAUGAGCUCGCGGCCUAUCAGCUUGUUGGUGGGGUAAUGGCCUACCAAGGCGUCGACGGGUAGCCGGCCUGAGAGGGUGUACGGCCACAUUGGGACUGAGAUACGGCCCAG
This 242-nucleotide ribosomal RNA is filed under the name uncultured Actinomycetales bacterium. RNAcentral describes it as "partial 16S ribosomal RNA". It matches the Rfam family "Bacterial small subunit ribosomal RNA", at positions 88 to 334 of the family's 1533-position model. The record is from RNAcentral. Lineage: Bacteria; Bacillati; Actinomycetota; Actinomycetes; Actinomycetales.